AAUAAGAUGAAAAUACUUUUAAUCUGAAUUAUGCAAGCAUGAAAACAUAAAACCAUAUGGAUCUAACUUAUAUGCUGAAAUUGAUAUAUGCUGAAAUUUAGAUUGUGAUCAAAUCACAUACUUGUUUCGCAAUCCUUUUCUUAAAAUCUGGAUCUGAAAGAAAAAAGAUUCUUUUUUAGCCGCACAAAUGUCCAGCCUCUACGAGUAUCCACUCA
This 215-nucleotide long non-coding RNA is filed under the name Elaeis guineensis (African oil palm). Its description in RNAcentral is "long non-coding RNA (EGUI_LNC039075)". Lineage: Eukaryota; Viridiplantae; Streptophyta; Magnoliopsida; Arecales; Arecaceae. The record is from RNAcentral.